GUGCCAGCAGCCGCGGUAAUACGUAGGGCGCAAGCGUUGUCCGGAAUUAUUGGGCGUAAAGAGCUUGUAGGCGGCUUGUCGCGUCUGCCGUGAAAACCCGAGGCUCAACCUCGGGCGUGCGGUGGGUACGGGCAGGCUAGAGUGUGGUAGGGGAGACUGGAACUCCUGGUGUAGCGGUGANAUGCGCAGAUAUCAGGAAGAACACCGAUGGCGAAGGCAGGUCUCUGGGCCAUUACUGACACUGAGAAGCGAAAGCAUGGGUAGCGAACAGGAUUAGAUACCCUGGUAGUCC
Molecule: ribosomal RNA, 292 nt
Filed under: uncultured microorganism
Description: partial 16S ribosomal RNA
Rfam family: Bacterial small subunit ribosomal RNA
Source: RNAcentral